RNAcentral lists this ribosomal RNA (201 nucleotides) under uncultured bacterium. Its description in RNAcentral is "partial 16S ribosomal RNA". It matches the Rfam family "Bacterial small subunit ribosomal RNA", at positions 328 to 538 of the family's 1533-position model. The record is from RNAcentral.
ACGCUCGACACCUACGGAGGCAGCAGUGGGGAAUAUUGCACAAUGGGGGAAACCCUGAUGCAGCGACGCCGCGUGAGCGAAGAAGUAUUUCGGUAUGUAAAGCUCUAUCAGCAGGGAAGAAACUGACGGUACCUGACUAAGAAGCACCGGCUAAAUACGUGCCAGCAGCCGGUAGGUAAUCUGAGGCGGGCUGGACAAGGC